UAACAAGGAUUCCCCUAGUAACUGCGAGUGAAGCGGGAAAAGCUCAAAUUUAAAAUCUGGUGGUCUUUGGCCAUCCGAGUUGUAGUCUGGAGAAGUGUUUUCCGCGCUGGACCGUGUACAAGUCUCUUGGAAUAGAGCGUCAUAGAGGGUGAGAAUCCCGUCUUUGACACGGACUACCAGUGCUUUGUGAUGCGCUCUCAAAGAGUCGAGUUGUUUGGGAAUGCAGCUCAAAAUGGGAGGUAAAUUCCUUCUAAAGCUAAAUAUUGGCGAGAGACCGAUAGCGAACAAGUACCGUGAGGGAAAGAUGAAAAGCACUUUGGAAAGAGAGUUAAACAGUACGUGAAAUUGCUAAAAGGGAAACGAUUGAAGUCAGUCGCGUCAUUCAGAACUCAGCCUGGCUUUUGCUUGGUGCAUUUUCUGUUUGACGGGCCAGCAUCAAUUUUGACCGUUGGAUAAAGGCUUUGGGAAUGUGGCAUCUUCGGAUGUGUUAUAGCCCAUUGUUGCAUACACCGGUUGGGAUUGAGGAUCACAGCAUGCCUUUAUGGUCGGGGUUCGCCCACGUUCAUGCUUAGGAUGCUGGCGU
This 583-nucleotide ribosomal RNA is filed under the name Hypochnicium karstenii. RNAcentral's name for it is "eukaryotic LSU rRNA". It matches the Rfam family "Eukaryotic large subunit ribosomal RNA", at positions 66 to 632 of the family's 3401-position model. Lineage: Eukaryota; Fungi; Basidiomycota; Agaricomycetes; Polyporales. The record is from RNAcentral.